ACAAUUUACAUUUAUUAUGCCCACUGAAACCACAAAACCAAUGUUUAAUUUUACAGUUUAAAGUCACACAUAAGGAAAUGCUUUACAAAAUAGGAUAUUGUUCCUUAAUGAAAAAUAUUACAGUAAAGGUCCCAAACAUCUUAUUUCAAGUGGUUUACCUGAAUAAUAGAGCUGUUGUGGAAUGUAGGCUACAAAACACAGUAAUGCUUUCAAUAGUUGUUUCAGGUUUGAAAUAUGCCAAAGCUGAAGAGACAUUUUAAACAAGACCCGUCUUCGUUUUCCAAGAUCUUUUUUUUUUAAAUUUUCCAACAGCAUUGUAUUCACUGAAAAAAUGCCAUCACUUCUGGAGAACUGAGAGUAAAAAGCAGCUUACAUUUUACUGCUUGUAUACAGCAUGUA
RNAcentral lists this long non-coding RNA (399 nucleotides) under Bos taurus (domestic cattle). RNAcentral's name for it is "long non-coding RNA NONBTAT000070". Lineage: Eukaryota; Metazoa; Chordata; Mammalia; Artiodactyla; Bovidae. The record is from RNAcentral.